This 1550-nucleotide long non-coding RNA is filed under the name Erythranthe guttata (spotted monkey flower). Its description in RNAcentral is "long non-coding RNA (EGUT_LNC002561)". Lineage: Eukaryota; Viridiplantae; Streptophyta; Magnoliopsida; Lamiales; Phrymaceae. The record is from RNAcentral.
AAAUAUAGAUCAAAAUACACAAUCACAUGCAUAUGUUCUUCAAUAAAGAACAAAUUCAUCAUCAUCACUCAAUAUUAAAAACACACAUAACCCAGACAUGACUACAUGUUACUAUAUGUUACUAUAUAUGACUAUAGUAACAUAUAGUAAUGUUACUAUAUAUGACUAUGUAACAUAUAGUCAGGUUACCAUAUAUGUAGUAAUGUUACUAUAUAAGACUAUAGUAACAUAUAGUCAUGUUACCAUAUAUGACUAUAGUAACAUGUAGUAAAGCACUUCUCGCCGUCAUUUCUUACUGUAUAGAAGUGGCAAAAACAACAAUCCCUGUAGCAAAGAAAAUACCAGUUAGAGAAAACGAAAAGCAAAAAGUCUUGCGACAAAAAAAAUACGAGUUAAAGAGAAAAAUGGAACAUGCGAGUUAGAUUACAUGAAAAAUACAAAAAAAAUGUUAAUUUUUUGUACUGAAAUAGACUACAAAUGACUAUAGUAUACUACAAAUUCUAUAGUCAUAUAUAGUUAUAUGUAGCCAUGACUACAUAUGACUGUAUAUGACUACAUAUAAUUGUACAUUCACCUAACUCUAAUCACCCAACUACUGAUUAAGUUUCUACUACUGAUAAACAAAGCCCUCUCACUUAAAGCAUUUCGCAUCAUCUUCAAAUAAAUUAACCAUAUUCCAGCAUCGACCCACACAUUCAACGAAUUAGGUCAAAACUUCUGCAUUGGAGCACCCACUGAAACUGUACAAUCUCAAAACCGAAUCAGAAACAUAAUCGGACAGAAUAAGAAACUAUGAAAAUGUCAUUAUCAAUCUAAUCUCAUCUAAUCCAAAUUAAUCUAAUAUAAAGUUGAUUAGCAGACCAAGCAACCCAAAAUUACAUAUUAAAAAAUAGAUUAAAACAUGGAAUGGUCUUGUAAGUCAUUCUUCAAUGCACAAAAUUCCACCCAAGUAACAAUAAUAAUUAGGGGAUAUAAGAAAAAAAAAUUGGAUCAAGAAAUUUUAUGCAGAACUUGAACAAACCUUCAUCCAUUAACACUUCAAAAUUGAGUGGUGGCUUUUUGUGGAAUAACAUCCUUUUCUUCUUCUUACCAAAUGAAGAACAAAAAUUCAAAUAAAAAUUAAACUUACAACAAUUUAUUAUACAGAUCGUGUUGGUAGAGUUCUCAUAGGAGAAGAAGGAGGAGGGCCGCGUCGAGGUCCCGGAGUUUCAUGUGCGCGGCGGAGUGCAGCGGUGUUGCGGUGGCGUUGUUGUCUCGAUCAAAGUGGUGGAGCACGGUGAGAUCCGAAAAGAGGUGGCGGCCAUGAUAACUUUUGGUGGAGGGACAGAGACUGGAGGUGACGGUGAGUGAGGGAGAAGAAGUUCGGGAGAGGAAAAAAUUAUCUCAGAGAUUUCCAUGGAGAAAAGGGGAAAACAGAAUAGAGAAUGGCGAGAGAGAUAGAGAGAAGAAUGGAGGCGGAUGUUUAGAGAGGUGUAGGAUUAGGUCAUUUAUGAAAAGGGCAAAAUAGGGAAUCCAUAUAUCCUAGGGGGUCUCACUAAUUAAGAUCAGAU